UCUCCCUGGGCUCUGCACCACUGAAAGGCUCCAGACGGCUCGGGCCCUGGGCCAAGCUGCUUGGUUCCAGUGGGAAAGCUGACCUUGGCCAGGAAGAACCAGGAAGAGGCACAAAUGACUCAUUGUCCCACAUCCUCCAAGAGUCGAGAUCUGCUUAGUGCCAAGUGUGAUGUGGACAAUUGCCUGCUGGAUGGAGACAGAAACUCAUUUCCCAUCUGUCAAGCAGCCUGACACAGAGUUGGUAAUGAUUUUCUGUCAGGCGAGGCCUGGCUGGAUUUGAACCCAUGACCCAGAGGCUGUAACCCCAUCACUUUGCUGAAAGUUUUAUGUAAAUAAAGAUGCAAGAAGAGACCAAAAUGAGCAGCUGGUGUUACUUCUGUUUUGAAACAGAGAGUGCACAGAUGAAGAGGGAUUUCCAGGAAACAGGGCGUUCUGGUCUUCUGGAUGUGGCAAAGUCUUCAUCAGAAGGGACAAGCUCCAGAACAACAGCAAGUGUGCCCCUCAUUUCUUUGGAAUUCCCCUUUCAGGAGCUCUGAGAGCAUGUUAAGAGUAACAAAACUAAUUUGAAAUUUGAUUAGAGCCCAGAGCAACAUAGAUGUGGGAACUUUCUAGCAUUUUCCAAAAGAUUUUCAUUUAUACAGUGGAGUUUUCCAGAGGCUACAUGACAUGUGAUAUCAAAAGAGAUCUGAUACAGAAGCAGAUAUGAGACACCAACAGUCUUAUGUUAAGCCAGGCAUUAAAGAGAUUUGCAAAAUGCAAAACAAUA
Molecule: non-coding RNA, 766 nt
Organism: Macaca mulatta (Rhesus monkey)
Lineage: Eukaryota; Metazoa; Chordata; Mammalia; Primates; Cercopithecidae
Source: RefSeq, a predicted model, not a curated record